This 1028-nucleotide ribosomal RNA is filed under the name uncultured eukaryote. RNAcentral describes it as "bacterial SSU rRNA". It matches the Rfam family "Eukaryotic small subunit ribosomal RNA", at positions 606 to 1432 of the family's 1831-position model. The record is from RNAcentral.
AAGUUUUUGCAGUUAAAAAGCUCGUAGUUUGAUUUAGGGUUUAUUUUUAAAAUGGAACUUAUCCUUUCUGGUAUUUCUAUGAUUGGAUUUGUUCCUAUAAACCUUUAUGGUUAAUUAAAAACGUGUGUUCUAUCAGGGAAAGGGGGAUUUAUUCGUAUCCUUUUACUUUGAAAAAAUUAGAGUGUUCAAAGCAGGCAUUUCUAAUUUUGUCUGGAAUAGUUGAGCACGGGAUAAUGAAAUGUGACUCUUAUUCUGGUUUAUUGGGUUUUUAGAAUUCAAAAGUAGAUUUUUUUUCUAGUAGCAAUAUUAGAGAAAAGAUCUUUUUGGAGUAAUGAUUAAUAGAAAUAGCUUGGGGGUGUUGAUAUUUCAUUGUCAGAGGUGAAAUUCUUGGAUUUAUGAAAGAUAAACUUAUGCGAAAGCUUUCAUCAAGAGUAUUUUCAUUAACAAAGAACGACAGAUUAAGGAUCGAAGACGAUCAGAUACCGUCAUAGUUUAAUCUAUAAAUUAUGCCGACCAGGGGUUAGAGAAUGUGUUAAACUGAAUCAAGUUCACAAGGGCUUGGAUCAAUUACUUCUUUAGAAUCUUUGUGAGAAAUCAUUGAGUGUUUGGGUUCUGGGGGUAGUAUGGUCGCAAGACUGAUACUUAAACGAAUUUGACGGAAAGCCACCCACCAGGAGUGGAGCCUGCUACUUAAUUUUGACUCAACACGGGGGAAACUCACCAAGUCCGGACAUGAUUAGGAAUUGACAGAUUAAAAGCUCUUACUUGAUUCUAUGGGCUGGUGGUGCAUGGUCGUUCUUAAUUGGUGAAAUAAUCUGUCUUUUUAAAUUCCCAAAAACUAACAAGACCCCAGCCUAUUAAAUAGUAACCCGAAUAAAUUAUUCAAACGGGAAUGAAGUGGAAGAAUUCCUUUUCUAUUUGGCUGAAGAUUUUUCCUUCAGUAAAAUAAGGGAAAUUCUUGCCCGGGAUCUCUUUUAUUUUAUUCCAGAUUUCUCAGUUACUUUCUUAAAAGGAAAUUAUUAACCUUA